Molecule: ribosomal RNA, 373 nt
Filed under: uncultured bacterium
Lineage: Bacteria
Description: bacterial SSU rRNA
Rfam family: Bacterial small subunit ribosomal RNA
Source: RNAcentral
GACGAACGCUGGCGGCGUGCUUAACACAUGCAAGUCGAGCGGUAAGGCCCUUCGGGGGUACGACGAGCGGCGAACGGGUGAGUAACACGUGGGUGACCUGCCCUCAGCUCUGGGAUAAGCCUGGGAAACCGGGUCUAAUACUGGAUAUGACUCCAUGACGCAUGUUGUGGGGUGGAAAGCCUUGUGCGGCUGAGGAUGGGCCCGCGGCCUAUCAGCUUGUUGGUGGGGUGANGGCCUACCAAGGCGACGACGGGUAGCCGGCCUGAGAGGGCGACCGGCCACACUGGGACUGAGACACGGCCCAGACUCCUACGGGAGGCAGCAGUCGGGAAUCUUGCGCAAUGGGCGAAAGCCUGACGCAGCAACACCGUGU